This 82-nucleotide non-coding RNA is filed under the name Sphaerotilus montanus. Lineage: Bacteria; Pseudomonadati; Pseudomonadota; Betaproteobacteria; Burkholderiales; Sphaerotilaceae. The record is from RNAcentral.
AUCACUGGCGGGCCGUGCAGGGAGGGGGCAACCCCUGCCGGUCCAUUCCCGGUCCGCCAACCUUGCACGGUCUGCCACCCUA